CCCUUAGAUGUUCUGGGCCGCACGCGCGCUACACUGAUUCAUGCAACAAGUUUUGUCCUUGGCUGAUAGGCCUGGGUAAUCUUUGAACGUGAAUCGUGAUGGGGAUAGAUGAUUGCAAUUAUUCAUCUUCAACGAGGAAUUCCUAGUAAACGCAAGUCAUCAGCUUGCAUUGAUUACGUCCCUACCCUUUGUACACACCGCCCGUCGCACCUACCGAUUGAAUGGUCCGGUGAAAUCUUCGGAUCUGAGAGAUGUCUGAUUAAUUUCGGACGCCUUUUGGAAAAGUUGUUUAAACCUUACCAUUUAGAGGAAGGUGAAGUCGUAACA
RNAcentral lists this ribosomal RNA (327 nucleotides) under uncultured eukaryote. Its description in RNAcentral is "partial 18S ribosomal RNA". It matches the Rfam family "Eukaryotic small subunit ribosomal RNA", at positions 1470 to 1796 of the family's 1831-position model. The record is from RNAcentral.